AUUGAACGCUGGCGGCAGGCCUAACACAUGCAAGUCGAGCGGAUGAAGGGAGCUUGCUCCUGGAUUCAGCGGCGGACGGGUGAGUAAUGCCUAGGAAUCUGCCUGGUAGUGGGGGAUAACGUCCGGAAACGGGCGCUAAUACCGCAUACGUCCUGAGGGAGAAAGUGGGGGAUCUUCGGACCUCACGCUAUCAGAUGAGCCUAGGUCGGAUUAGCUAGUUGGUGGGGUAAAGGCCUACCAAGGCGACGAUCCGUAACUGGUCUGAGAGGAUGAUCAGUCAAACUGGAAAUGAGGCACGGUCCAGACUCCUACGGGAGGCAGCAGUGGGGAAUAUUGGAAAAUGGGCGAAAGCCUGAUCCAGCCAUGCCGCGUGUGUGAAGAAGGUCUUCGGAUUGUAAAGCACUUUAAGUUGGGAGGAAGGGCAGUAAGUUAAUACCUUGCUGUUUUGACGUUACCAACAGAAUAAGCACCGGCUAACUUCGGG
This 484-nucleotide ribosomal RNA is filed under the name uncultured bacterium. RNAcentral describes it as "partial 16S ribosomal RNA". It matches the Rfam family "Bacterial small subunit ribosomal RNA", at positions 30 to 507 of the family's 1533-position model. The record is from RNAcentral.